AUGCAGUCGAACGGCAGCACAGAGGAGCUUGCUCCUUGGGUGGCGAGUGGCGGACGGGUGAGGAAUGCGUCGGAAUCUGCCUUUUUGUGGGGGAUAACGUAGGGAAACUUACGCUAAUACCGCAUACGACCUACGGGUGAAAGUGGGGGACCGCAAGGCCUCACGCAGAAAGAUGAGCCGACGCCGGAUUAGCUAGUUGGCGGGGUAAAGGCCCACCAAGGCGACGAUCCGUAGCUGGUCUGAGAGGAUGAUCAGCCACACUGGGACUGAGACACGGCCCAGACUCCUACGGGAGGCAGCAGUGGGGAAUAUUGGACAAUGGGCGCAAGCCUGAUCCAGCCAUGCCGCGUGUGUGAAGAAGGCCUUCGGGUUGUAAAGCACUUUUGUCCGGAAAGAAAAGCUUCGGGUUAAUAACCUGGAGUCAUGACGGUACCGGAAGAAUAAGCACCGGCUAACUUCGUGCCAGCAGCCGCGGUAAUACGAAGGGUGCAAGCGUUACUCGGAAUUACUGGGCGUAAAGCGUGCGUAGGUGGUUUGUUAAGUCUGAUGUGAAAGCCCUGGGCUCAACCUGGGAACGGCAUUGGAUACUGGCUUACUAGAGUGCGGUAGAGGGUAGCGGAAUUCCCGGUGUAGCAGUGAAAUGCGUAGAUAUCGGGAGGAACAUCCGUGGCGAAAGCGGCUACCUGGACCAGCACUGACACUGAGGCACGAAAGCGUGGGGAGCAA
RNAcentral lists this ribosomal RNA (726 nucleotides) under Lysobacter sp. RNAcentral's name for it is "bacterial SSU rRNA". It matches the Rfam family "Bacterial small subunit ribosomal RNA", at positions 55 to 771 of the family's 1533-position model. The record is from RNAcentral. Lineage: Bacteria; Pseudomonadati; Pseudomonadota; Gammaproteobacteria; Lysobacterales; Lysobacteraceae.